CUUCCCCGCUGAACAUGGGCGUUGACAGGUGGAUCCAUACUCCCAGCCUGCCUCUCUCUUUCCCUAGUGGGGCAGGGCUCUGGGGAGGCGGGGCUCCAGGACACAUCCAGGCUUAGCCUAAUACUCUUUGAUCUCUAUUUCCUGGGAUCCCCACUCUCCAGUGCCCUCUUAGGUCUUUCAUUCUUGGCCUCCCCGUGUCACAUCAUCAGCGUGCCACUUGUCGCUCUCACAGAGUCUGGGAUUGGAAAAAGUAACACCUGUGUCUUCCAAGGAAGCAUCCGAUUAUCUGGUGACUGUUAUCCCGCUUGGAUUUUGCACUCAGUAGCCCGCCUGCCUUUCUCCCUUCCUCUCAUCCUCUCUCUCCCCACUGCCUCCCUUCCUUCCUCCUCCCCUCCCUUCAUUAGCAUAAUUGGCCUUGGCAUCUGCUAUAGCAUAAUUAUUAUAUAUGUUUCCUCUCCUUUCCCUGACGCGCCCUCUCUAUGGAUCCUGUAGCAAGGAAUUUUUUAGGGUAGGAAACUUGGCAGUCGAUAUUGGCUCCUGUGGCAGGAUUUAAUCUGGAUAAAACGCCCUUAGGAAGGAGGCUGGCAAACUCACCCCCUAAAAACAUCAAGCAAACAAGACUUUGCAGACUGAAUGCAGAAGGGUCCUGUCCAUAGUGGCCCUGGCCUGCCCAGCUGUUCACAUCCACUCAUGGUUACACAAGUUUUUCAUUUUCUU
Erinaceus europaeus (western European hedgehog) is the source of this 717-nucleotide long non-coding RNA. RefSeq lists it as uncharacterized. NCBI's taxonomy places the organism in Eukaryota, Metazoa, Chordata, Mammalia, Eulipotyphla, Erinaceidae. The record is from RefSeq and is a predicted model, not a curated record. The transcript has 2 exons.